RNAcentral lists this transfer RNA (85 nucleotides) under Candidatus Hydrogenedentota bacterium. RNAcentral describes it as "Candidatus Hydrogenedentes bacterium tRNA-Ser". It matches the Rfam family "tRNA". Rfam says of the family: Transfer RNA (tRNA) molecules are approximately 80 nucleotides in length. Their secondary structure includes four short double-helical elements and three loops (D, anti-codon, and T loops). The record is from RNAcentral. Lineage: Bacteria; Pseudomonadati; Candidatus Hydrogenedentota.
GGAGAGAUGUCAGAGUGGUCGAAUGUGCACGCUUGGAAAGCGUGUGUCCCGCAAGGGACCGGGGGUUCGAAUCCCCCUCUCUCCG